Molecule: ribosomal RNA, 465 nt
Filed under: Vreelandella stevensii
Lineage: Bacteria; Pseudomonadati; Pseudomonadota; Gammaproteobacteria; Oceanospirillales; Halomonadaceae
Description: partial 16S ribosomal RNA
Rfam family: Bacterial small subunit ribosomal RNA
Source: RNAcentral
CCUACGGGGGGCUGCAGUGGGGAAUAUUGGACAAUGGGCGAAAGCCUGAUCCAGCCAUGCCGCGUGUGUGAAGAAGGCCUUCGGGUUGUAAAGCACUUUCAGUGGGGAAGAAAGCCUUGGGGCUAAUACCCUCGAGGAAGGACAUCACCCACAGAAGAAGCACCGACUAACUCCGUGCCAGCAGCCGCGGUAAUACGGAGGGUGCGAGCGUUAAUCGGAAUUACUGGGCGUAAAGCGCGCGUAGGCGGUCUGAUAAGCCGGUUGUGAAAGCCCCGGGCUCAACCUGGGAACGGCAUCCGGAACUGUCAGGCUAGAGUGCAGGAGAGGAAGGUAGAAUUCCCGGUGUAGCGGUGAAAUGCGUAGAGAUCGGGAGGAAUACCAGUGGCGAAGGCGGCCUUCUGGACUGACACUGACGCUGAGGUGCGAAAGCGUGGGUAGCAAACAGGAUUAGAUACCCUAGUAGUC